ACGCGGCUUUGCGAAUCGGUUGGAUCUGGAGGAGGAGGAGGAGAGGAAGCGGGAGGAGAUCGGUUUUGGGACGCCGAAGUGGAAGAGCGNNNNNNNNNNCGAAGUUGAAGAGCGUGAGGAGAAGGAAGAGGAGGGAGAAGACGAGGAGAGCGAUGAGGAGGAAGUUCGUGAAGAGGAAGUUGAUGAGAGCUGUUCGUUGUUUUCGUGGUUUUCGAUUGAUCGGGAGUUUUGAUUUGGAUGAGGAUGUUGUUGGGAGAAGGGAUUGACGCCAGCCGCUUCCGCUUCCGCUGCCGGGGGGACUACGGCGGGUGUUGCCGCCGAUGAAGGGCAUGUCUCUCCUCCUCGGAAAUUCCGAAGUCUUUUGCUAAUGAAACUACGUCGUUUUUUACCUGAUCCGUUUAGUUUCUUUCGGCUCUGAGUUUUAUAUAACUGAAUGACGGUGGACUUUUCUUGUGGUUUUACGGUAGAUUCGAGUAGUGCGUCAGUGGUAGUAUUGUCUUUUAAUCAAGAGCUAGAUUCCGG
This 522-nucleotide long non-coding RNA is filed under the name Brassica napus (rape). RNAcentral's name for it is "long non-coding RNA (BNAP_LNC012712)". The record is from RNAcentral. Lineage: Eukaryota; Viridiplantae; Streptophyta; Magnoliopsida; Brassicales; Brassicaceae.